Molecule: ribosomal RNA, 224 nt
Filed under: uncultured bacterium
Lineage: Bacteria
Description: partial 16S ribosomal RNA
Rfam family: Bacterial small subunit ribosomal RNA
Source: RNAcentral
UGGCGUACGGGUGAGUAACACGUGGAUCAUCUACCUUUUAGUGGGGAAUACCGUUGGGAAACCGACGACAAUACCGCAUAAUCCCGAGAGGGGAAAGCAGCAAUGCGCUGAAAGAGGAGUCCGCGGCUGAUUAGCUAGUUGGCAGGGUAAUGGCCUACCAAGGCAACGAUCAGUAGCCAGCCUGAGAGGGCACACGGCCACACUGGCACUGAAACACGGGCCAG